AUGCCCCCGCCGUUGCAGCCGCUCGCCGCGGCUCCCGCCUGCGCGCGCACGCUGGCCGACCUCCUAGUUGCGCUCUCAGCCGCCCGCGCGCUCCCCAAGGGCCAGCAGCUCCAUGGCCACCUUCUCAAGGGCGGCCAUCUCCCCGCCGUCGCCUCCUCGCACGCGCUGCUCGCCCACCACCUCCUCACCUUCUACGCCCGCUGCUCGCUCCCCGAGCUUUCCCUCCGCGCCUUCCUCGACCUCCCCGCUCCCCCCUCCCCCGCCGCAUGGUCCUCCCUCAUAUCCUCCUUCGCCCAGAACGGCCUCCCGGCGGCAGCCUUUGACGCCUUCCGCCGCAUGCUCGCGGCCGGGGUCGCCGCCACCGACCGCUCCAUCCCCCCCGCCGCCAAGGCCGUCGCAGCUGCCGCGGACUCCUCGCGCCCUCCGCUUGCCCCGCACGCCCUCCAUGGCCUUGCCUCCAAGACGCCGUUCGCGGGCGACGUGUUCGUGUGGUCGGCGGUUCUUGACAUGUAUGCCAAGUGCGGGAACCUUGCGGACGCCCGCCGGGUGUUCGACGAAAUGCCGGAGCGGAAUGUUGUCUCGUGGUCUGCCCUCAUUGGUGGCUACGCGGAUGCUGGGAUGCAUCCUGCAGCACUCUGCAUCUUCCGCUCGGCACUGGAGGAGGCUGUGCAGGUCAAUGACUUCACAGUUUCGUGCAUUGUUCGUGUAUGUGCUGCAGCCACACUCUUUGAGCUUGGGGCUCAGGUACAUGCCCGAUCUAUAAAGACAGCACUUGAUGCAUCGCCGUUUGUGGGCAGCUCGCUUGUUUCUCUGUACUCGAAGUGUGGCCUUGUGGAUUGUGCUUACCAGGUGUUCAGUGCAGCACCUGAGAGAAACCUUGGGAUUUGGAACGCAGUGCUCAUUGCAUCUGCACAGCAUGGCCAUACUUCCACAGCAUUUGAACGUUUCACAAAGAUGCAGAAUGCCGGGUUCCGUCCUAACUUCAUUACCUUCCUUUGUUUACUCACAGCAUGUAGCCACGCUGGUCUUGUCGAUGAGGGGAAGCGAUAUUUUUCCCUCAUGAAAGAAUAUAGAAUUGAACCGCAGGUUGAACAUUAUGCUGCAAUGGUUGACCUACUUGGUCGUGUAGGACGUAUAACUGAAGCACUGGACCUUAUUGAGUCAAUGCCCAUGGAACCACCUGACUCUGUUUGGGGUGCACUCCUAAUGGCAUGUCGCAUGUUCAAGGAUGCAGACACUGCGGCAAUUGCUGCAAAGAGACUGUUUGAGACAGGGUCUCGCAGCUCUGGUGCACACAUGCUCUUGUCAAGCACGUAUGCAGCUGCAGGAAGGCAUGUCGAUGCAGCACUUGCAAGGAAGGCAAUGCGUGAUGCAGGUAUACGGAAAGAGACUGGUCUUAGCUGGCUUGAGGCUGCAGGGGAGGUGCAUACCUUUGUUUCAAACUGCAGGAGACAUCCAAGAAGCAAUGAAAUUUAUAAUGUGCUGGAGAAAGUUGGUAAGAAAAUGGCGGCAGCUGGUUAUGUGGCAGACACUAGUGCAGUGGUUAAGGAUGUGGACAGAGAUGAGAAGUGCGCAUCACUGGGGUAUCACAGCGAAAGGCUAGCAAUAGGGUUAGGGCUCUUGAUUGUUCCGGAAGGUGUGCCAAUCCGAGUUAUGAAGAACUUAAGAGUGUGUGAUGAUUGUCACAAUGCAGUUAAGUAUCUCAGUAAGUGUACAGGAAGAGUUGUGGUUCUCAGGGAUAACCGUCGAUUCCACCGGUUUGAAGCUGGGUUGUGCUCUUGUGGGGAUUUCUGGUGA
Molecule: ribosomal RNA, 1797 nt
Filed under: Triticum aestivum (bread wheat)
Lineage: Eukaryota; Viridiplantae; Streptophyta; Magnoliopsida; Poales; Poaceae
Description: partial small subunit ribosomal RNA
Source: RNAcentral